CCUACGGGCUGCAGCAGUGGGGAAUAUUGGACAAUGGGCGAAAGCCUGAUCCAGCAAUGCCGCGUGUGUGAAGAAGGUCUUCGGAUUGUAAAGCACUUUCGACGGGGACGAUGAAGACGGUACCCGUAGAAGAAGCCCCGGCUAACUUCGUGCCAGCAGCCGCGGUAAUACGAAGGGGGCUAGCGUUGCUCGGAAUGACUGGGCGUAAAGGGCGCGUAGGCGGUUUAUGCAGUCAGAUGUGAAAUCCCCGGGCUUAACCUGGGAGCUGCAUUUGAGACGCAUAGACUAGAGGUCGAGAGAGGGUUGUGGAAUUCCCAGUGCAGAGGUGAAAUUCGUAGAUAUUGGGAAGAACACCGGUGGCGAAGGCGGCAACCUGGCUCGAUACUGACGCCGAGGCGCGAAAGCGUGGGGAGCAAACAGGAUUAGAUACCCCCGUAGUC
RNAcentral lists this ribosomal RNA (440 nucleotides) under uncultured bacterium. RNAcentral describes it as "bacterial SSU rRNA". It matches the Rfam family "Bacterial small subunit ribosomal RNA", at positions 338 to 795 of the family's 1533-position model. The record is from RNAcentral.